RNAcentral lists this long non-coding RNA (263 nucleotides) under Homo sapiens (human). RNAcentral's name for it is "non-protein coding lnc-NPAS1-3:1". Lineage: Eukaryota; Metazoa; Chordata; Mammalia; Primates; Hominidae. The record is from RNAcentral.
GCAGGAGAAUCGCUUGAACCCAGAAGGCGAAGGUUGCGGUGAGCAGAGAUCGCGCCAUUGCACUCCAGCCUGGACAACAAAGCAAGACUCCAUUUCAUUUCCAUUUUUUUUUUUUUGAGACAGAGUCUCGCUCUUGUUGCCCAGGCUGGAGUGCAAUGGCACGAUCUCAGCUCACCGCAACCACCGCCUCCCGGGUUCAAGCGAUUCUCCUGCCUCAGCCUCUCGAGUAGCUGGGAUUACAGGUAUGCACCACCUUGCCUGGC